AUUGAACGCUGGCGUCAGGCCUAACACAUGCAAGUCGAGCGGUUGAAGGGGGCUUGCUCCUGGAUUCAGCGGCGGACGGGUGAGUUAUGCCUAGGAAUCUGCCUGGUUGUGGGGUAUAACGUCCGGAAACGGGCGCUAAUACCGCAUCCGUCCUGAGGGAGAAAGUGGGGGAUCUUCGGACCUCACGCUAUCAGAUGAGCCUAGGUCGGAUUAGCUAGUUGGUGGGGUAAAGGCCUACCAAGGCGGCGAUCCGUAACUGGUCUGAGAGAGUGAACAGUCACACUGGAACUGUAACACGCUACAGACUCCUACGGGAGGCAGCAGUGGGGAAUAUUAGACAGUGGGCGAAAGCCGGGACGAAAAAGGUCGCGUGUGUGAAGAAGGUCUUCGGAUUGUAAAGCACUUUAAGUAGGGAGGAAGAGGAGUAAGUUAAGACCAAGCAGUUUUGGAGGUACAAACAGAAUAAGCACAGGCUAACUUCGUG
RNAcentral lists this ribosomal RNA (484 nucleotides) under uncultured bacterium. Its description in RNAcentral is "partial 16S ribosomal RNA". It matches the Rfam family "Bacterial small subunit ribosomal RNA", at positions 30 to 507 of the family's 1533-position model. The record is from RNAcentral.